Molecule: unclassified non-coding RNA, 253 nt
Filed under: uncultured Flavobacteriaceae bacterium
Lineage: Bacteria; Pseudomonadati; Bacteroidota; Flavobacteriia; Flavobacteriales; Flavobacteriaceae
Description: contains 16S-23S intergenic spacer region
Rfam family: Bacterial small subunit ribosomal RNA
Source: RNAcentral
UACGGAGGAUCCAAGCGUUAUCCGGAAUCAUUGGGUUUAAAGGGUCCGUAGGCGGGUUAAUAAGUCAGUGGUGAAAGUCUGCAGCUCAGCUGUAGAACUGCCAUUGAUACAGUAGACCUUGAAUUAUUAUGAAGUGGUUAGAAUAUGUAGUGUAGCGGUGAAAUGCAUAGAUAUUACAUAGAAUACCGAUUGCGAAGGCAGAUCACUAAUAAUAUAUUGACGCUGAUGGACGAAAGCGUGGGGAGCAAACAGG